Molecule: long non-coding RNA, 2147 nt
Filed under: Oryctolagus cuniculus (rabbit)
Lineage: Eukaryota; Metazoa; Chordata; Mammalia; Lagomorpha; Leporidae
Description: lncRNA (ENSOCUG00000038296.1)
Source: RNAcentral
GCAGGACUUGGAUUUAGUAAGAUAUUUACUGUGACAAACAAAAAAGAUCCAAAACAUAAAGUUUAACUUAAUAAAAUAAUAAAAUACAAACAUUUUAAUGACAUCAAUUUGGAACUUUUAAAUUUAUACAUUUGUUUGUAGCCACCUUUGUUUUUUAUUUCUAUUUAUUGCUUCAUUUAUCUUUAUUCACUUCUGUUCUCAGAUGGAUUGCCCUAUGGCCAAUUAUGUUAUGUUUUAUGUAGUGCAGGAGUGAAACUAUGUUUAUCAAAAAGAGUACUACCACAAAUACAUCCUAGAUAAUUAUGUAGAGAUAAAAAAUCUGUGAAAGAAUGUUUAUUAACAUAGUAAAAUAUUCAUAAAUUGAUUUGAAAAGACAAAAUUGAUGGGAAAUCAGGAUGCAAAAUUUGUAUAUUCAUAAUUUUAUGUAGAAAUAUAUACAUUUAAAUUGAAAAAAGUCUGGAAGUUAAUGCAGCACAAUUUUCUAUCUGCUGAGAAUGUUGGGAGCUUGAGGAAAAAGUAAGAGAGAUAUAUCCUUUUAACUUCUCUAUUCCAAAAAGUCCUGUAAUUAACCUGUAUUAAUUAUGCGUUUGAAUAUGACUCAACAUUUCUUUUGAAAAAAGUUUUAUUUAUAAAACUAAAGGAAUUUAGGGUUAAAUUUUAAAGGGUCAUGACUUUCCUUCAUUCAUGUCUAAUCUGAUUUUAUGUCCACAGGUGAUAUGUUCCUUUUGUGCUAUAAAGGAUGCAAAAUCCAGACAUGCAUCCAAAGUCAAUGAAGGCAAAUAUCCUGAAUGAUUUCAUGCCAUAUCCUGAAGUCUCUCCAGCAAGGAUUUAGAAUAAGGGAAGCAAUAAAACAAGACCUUCUCAACAAUCACAAGAUAAGCACGUUCAUCUUUGUGGCUAGUAGAUGCAAGUUUCAAAAUGUGGUUGAAAAAAAAUACAUAGCUACCCAGGCUGCCCCUCCGAGAGCGGAGGCAGCGAGAGAGUCCGCGUGUGCCGCUCACCGGUCCGCACCGGGGAGAGCGGAGGGGACCGAGACCGGCACCACCUCCUGGUCCUUGCUCCAGGUUACAGGAAGCCAAUUACAAGAGUCAUCACCACUGUCCCCCAGGGUCUGCAGUAGCAAGAAGCUGGAGUUGGGAACAAGAGCUGGGACUUGAACCCAGCUACUCAGAAAUGGAAGACCUGCAUCUUUAUUGGCAUCUUAAACACUAGGCUUUAGAAUUAAUAUUGAUAUCAGUAAUUAGCACUAGAGAUCAUAACCUACUGUAGUAUUUUUAAUACUUGACUUCCUAUAUGUCUCUCUUCAGAUACUAUUACAAAUAAUAUUUAUAAUCAUUUGAUAAGUCUUUGGUUUGGAGCCAUAAUAUGUCGAUUGUAAGUAUUUUAAAGCAUAUCAAAAUGUAAACUUGUUAAAAAUAAUCUUGUGUGUAAUAGCUUCAUGACACAUUUUUUAAAACAAAAGGAAAGAAUAUGGAAUGUAUGAAUUUUUCAGUUUAUUUAUAAAAUUUAGUAAAUUUAACAAUAAUAGUUUACAUAUAGAGAGAUUUAGCUGUCUGCUAGGUGCCAUUUCAUAUGUUUUUGGUCAUUACUCAUUUAGUCCUCACUUUAAAAUCUGCACUCCCCAGUAGCUCACAAUAGUUAGGGCUGGGCCAGGUUCAAUCUGGUUCACCCACACGAGUUUCAUAAACCUAACUACAUAAGCCAUCAUUUCCUGACCCAUAAUGUGCAUUAGCAGGAAAGUGGAAAUGGGAGCAGAGCCAGAACUCCAACCUAGGUAUUCAGGUGUGAAACACAGAUAUCCUGGCAUUUUAAUUGAUAAGCCAAACACCUACUCCAGGAUGCAUUUUUAAAUAGGAUAGUAAGUGAAGGUCUCCUUUGAGUACAGUUCUAAGGUGGUGCAGAAUUGAGCAAGAAUUGGAACCACACCUGGUGAUUUGAGAAGGAGCAAAGAAAUCAUAUGGAAAAGGUCGACUGGGCCAAGGAAGCUUGAAAGUGCAUUUCACAGAGUUAACUCAGGUGGUUGAGAGCACUUUGGCUGUUUACUUUCAAUGAGCUGGGAAGCUGCUGGAGGAUCUGGGGCAGAAAGGUAAUACUUUCCAACUUAGAUUUCAUAAGAAUCAUUUGAAUAAAAUGUUUUUGUUAGACCA